Molecule: non-coding RNA, 89 nt
Organism: Salimicrobium flavidum
Lineage: Bacteria; Bacillati; Bacillota; Bacilli; Caryophanales; Bacillaceae
Source: Rfam
AAGACCUUUAAUCACAGUCCCGUGAGGCUGAAAAGGAGACGGAUAUUUACCCUUUUCUGCCUACGUAUGUCAGAAAAGGGUUUUUUAUU